UGGGGAAUAUUGCGCAAUGGGGGAAACCCUGACGCAGCAACGCCGCGUGAAGGAUGAAGGUUUUCGGAUUGUAAACUUCUUUAAACCGGGACGAAAAAUGACGGUACCGGUGGAAUAAGCCACGGCUAACUACGUGCCAGCAGCCGCGGUAAUACGUAGGUGGCAAGCGUUGUCCGGAUUUACUGGGUGUAAAGGGCGUGUAGGCGGGUAUAUAAGUCAGAUGUGAAAUACCGAAGCUUAACUUCGGGGCUGCAUUUGAAACUGUAUAUCUUGAGUGCAGGAGAGGAAAGCGGAAUUCCUAGUGUAGCAGUGAAAUGCGUAGAUAUUAGGAGGAACACCAGUGGCGAAGGCGGCUUUCUGGACUGUAACUGACGCUGAGGCGCGAAAGCGUGGGGAGCAA
RNAcentral lists this ribosomal RNA (400 nucleotides) under uncultured bacterium. Its description in RNAcentral is "bacterial SSU rRNA". It matches the Rfam family "Bacterial small subunit ribosomal RNA", at positions 355 to 771 of the family's 1533-position model. The record is from RNAcentral.